This 190-nucleotide ribosomal RNA is filed under the name uncultured bacterium. RNAcentral's name for it is "partial 16S ribosomal RNA". It matches the Rfam family "Bacterial small subunit ribosomal RNA", at positions 1310 to 1500 of the family's 1533-position model. The record is from RNAcentral.
ACUCGCCUGCACGAAGUCGGAAUUGCUAGUAAUCGUAGGUCAGCAUACUACGGUGAAUACGUUCCCGGGCCUUGUACACACCGCCCGUCAAACCAUGAGAGUUGGCAACACCCGAAGUCGGUAGUCUAACCGCAAGGAGGACGCCGCCGAAGGUGGGUUGAUGAUUAGGGUUAAGUCGUAACAAGGUAGC